GCAGUGGUGGUUCAGUGGUAGAAUUCUGGUCUUCCAGUCUGGAGACCCAGAGUUAGAUUCCCAGCCAAUGCA
This 72-nucleotide transfer RNA is filed under the name Loxodonta africana (African savanna elephant). It matches the Rfam family "tRNA". Rfam says of the family: Transfer RNA (tRNA) molecules are approximately 80 nucleotides in length. Their secondary structure includes four short double-helical elements and three loops (D, anti-codon, and T loops). The record is from Rfam by way of RNAcentral. Lineage: Eukaryota; Metazoa; Chordata; Mammalia; Proboscidea; Elephantidae.